This 265-nucleotide ribosomal RNA is filed under the name uncultured archaeon. RNAcentral's name for it is "partial 16S ribosomal RNA". It matches the Rfam family "Archaeal small subunit ribosomal RNA", at positions 717 to 982 of the family's 1478-position model. The record is from RNAcentral.
ACACGACUACAUUAGAUACCCCUGUAGUCCUAGCCGUAAACGAUACUCGCUAGGUGUCGGCCACGGUGCGAUCGUUGUCGGUGCCGUAGGGAAGCCGUGAAGCGAGCCACCUGGGAAGCACGGCCGCAAGGCUGAAACUUAAAGGAAUUGGCGGGGGAGCACAACAACGGGUGGAGCUUGCGGUUUAAUUGGAUUCAACGCCGGAAAUCUUACCGGGACCGACAGCAACAUGAAGGCCAAGCUGAAGACUUUGCCGGAUUAGCUG